Molecule: ribosomal RNA, 438 nt
Filed under: uncultured bacterium
Lineage: Bacteria
Description: bacterial SSU rRNA
Rfam family: Bacterial small subunit ribosomal RNA
Source: RNAcentral
GGYUAAUACCNGGUUGGGAUGACGGUACCCAAAGAAUAAGCACCGGCUAACUUCGUGCCAGCAGCCGCGGUAAUACGAAGGGUGCAAGCGUUACUCGGAAUUACUGGGCGUAAAGCGUGCGUAGGUGGUCGUUUAAGUCCGUUGUGAAAGCCCUGGGCUCAACCUGGGAACUGCAGUGGAUACUGGGCGACUAGAGUGUGGUANAGGGUAGCGGAAUUCCUGGUGUAGCAGUGAAAUGCGUAGAGAUCAGGAGGAACAUCCAUGGCGAAGGCAGCUACCUGGACCAACACUGACACUGAGGCACGAAAGCGUGGGGAGCAAACAGGAUUAGAUACCCUGGUAGUCCACGCCCUAAACGAUGCGAACUGGAUGUUGGGUGCAAUUUGGCACGCAGUAUCGAAGCUAACGCGUUAAGUUCGCCGCCUGGGGAGUACGGUC